This 460-nucleotide ribosomal RNA is filed under the name uncultured bacterium. RNAcentral describes it as "partial 16S ribosomal RNA". It matches the Rfam family "Bacterial small subunit ribosomal RNA", at positions 338 to 795 of the family's 1533-position model. The record is from RNAcentral.
CCUACGGGAGGCAGCAGUGAGGAAUAUUGGUCAAUGGACGCGAGCCUGAACCAGCCAAGUCGCGUGCGGGAUGAAGGUUCUAUGAGUCGUAAACCUCUUUUAUAAGGGGGUAAAGUGUGGGACGUGUCCUAUUUUGUAUGUACCUUAUGAAUAAGGAUCGGCUAACUCCGUGCCAGCAGCCGCGGUAAUACGGAGGAUCCAAGCGUUAUCCGGAUUUAUUGGGUUUAAAGGGUGCGUAGGCGGCUUUUUAAGUCAGCGGUGAAAGGUUGGGGCUCAACCCUAGAAUUGCCUUUGAUACUGGUGGUCUAGAGUAUGUAUGCGGUAGGCGGAAUGUGUGGUGUAGCGGUGAAAUGCUUAGAGAUCACGCAGAACCCCGAUUGCGAAGGCAGCUUGCCAAGCCAUGACUGACGCUGAGGCACGAAAGCGUGGGGAGCAAACAGGAUUAGAUACCCCUGUAGUC